GGCUGUGGCGGUGGCGUGUCGCCUGAGGCGGGCUGGGGGGUUGCCCGGCGCCCUGGGUGGCUCAGCUCGUCGUCUUGCUCUCUGUUGUAUUUUAACAAGAGUUUAGUCUGUCUAGACUAGGUCAACUAGUUUGGGGCUAGUUGGCGGUUUCCUGAGCGCCCGGCUCCUGGAGACUUGUGAUUGUGUAGCGCUGGGAGAAUGGACAUCUCCAGCACCGCCAGGUUUCCGAGCCUUCGGCAUCCUGCUACUGCAUUUUUGAGGCCUGGUACUGGUUUUAGGCUCAUCACAGAAGUCACCAGACAACAAUAAUACUUUGAUGCCUAAUUAUAGGACUUGACUGAUAGAGGAUACCAGAAAGAUUUUCAAAGGGGCAAGAGGGAGGAGAAACUAGUUGAGCAAACUUCUCAAGUGGACAAGAAGAGGUGCAUCCUGGCAGAGUGAGUAGGUGCAGCUUGAGUCCACCUGGUACUGGAAUAUGAAUUGCUUCUGCAUCUACACAUCCUGCUCUCAUCUCUUUGGAGAUAAG
Molecule: long non-coding RNA, 526 nt
Organism: Falco peregrinus (peregrine falcon)
Lineage: Eukaryota; Metazoa; Chordata; Aves; Falconiformes; Falconidae
Exons: 4
Source: RefSeq, a predicted model, not a curated record